This 322-nucleotide ribosomal RNA is filed under the name uncultured eukaryote. Its description in RNAcentral is "partial 18S ribosomal RNA". It matches the Rfam family "Eukaryotic small subunit ribosomal RNA", at positions 1470 to 1796 of the family's 1831-position model. The record is from RNAcentral.
CCCUUAGAUGUUCUGGGCCGCACGCGUGCUACACUGAGUGGAUCAGCGGGUCAGGUUGCGCGAAAGCGUUUCCUAAUCUUUAAAUCCGCUCGUAAUGGGGAUUGACGGUUGCAAUUUUCUGUCAUGAACGAGGAAUACCUUGUAAGCGCGGGUCAUCAUCCCGCGCUGAAUACGUCCCUGCCCUUUGUACACACCGCCCGUCGCUCCUACCGAUUGAGUGGUCCGGUGAGGCUUUGGGAUCUGAGCGGAAAGAGCGUUUCGCUGUUUCUGCUCGGAAAACUCAGUCGAACCUUAUCAUUUAGAGGAAGGAGAAGUCGUAACA